This 483-nucleotide ribosomal RNA is filed under the name uncultured bacterium. Its description in RNAcentral is "partial 16S ribosomal RNA". The record is from RNAcentral.
GAAGUUAGCCGGGACUUAUUCUCCGGGUACCGUCAUUAUCGUCCCCGGCAAAAGAGCUUUACAACCCUAAGGCCUUCGUCACUCACGCGGCAUGGCUGGAUCAGGCUUGCGCCCAUUGUCCAAGAUUCCCCACUGCUGCCUCCCGUAGGAGUCUGGACCGUGUCUCAGUUCCAGUGUGGCCGAUCAGCCUCUCAGCUCGGCUACCCAUCGUUGGCUAGGUGGGCCGUUACCCCGCCUACUACCUAAUGGGACGCGAACCCCUCCUUCUGCGGAUUGCUCCUUUGACCCCUGAGCCAUGCGACUCUGUGGUCUUAUGCGGUAUUAGCACUUGUUUCCAGGUGUUAUCCCCCUCAAAAGGGCAGGUUGUUCACGCGUUACUCACCCGUUCGCCACUAGCUAUAAAUCCGAAAACCUAUAGCCCGUUCGACUUGCAUGUGUUAGGCACGCCGCCAGCGUUCGUCCUGAGCCAGAAUCAAACUCUGA